This 24-nucleotide unclassified non-coding RNA is filed under the name Arabidopsis thaliana (thale cress). Lineage: Eukaryota; Viridiplantae; Streptophyta; Magnoliopsida; Brassicales; Brassicaceae. The record is from RNAcentral.
CCUUGCGCAGGGGCCAUGCUAAUC